Molecule: ribosomal RNA, 481 nt
Filed under: uncultured bacterium
Lineage: Bacteria
Description: partial 16S ribosomal RNA
Rfam family: Bacterial small subunit ribosomal RNA
Source: RNAcentral
ACUCAAAGGAAUUGACGGGGAGGCGCACAAGCAGUGGAGCAUGUGGUUUAAUUCGAGACGAAGCGAAAAACCUCACCAGGAUUUGACAUGUAGAUGCUAAUUCCGUGAAAGCGGAACUCCUUCGAGGGUUCUACACAGAUGCUGCAUGGCUGUCGUCAGCUCGUGGCGUGAGCUGUACCGUUAAGUCGGGAAACGAGCGCAACCCGCACCAUAUGUUAAAUAAUUCAUAUGGAACUGCCCCGUAAGGGGAGGAAGGCGCGGAUGACGUCAAGUCCGCACGGCUCUUACAUCCUGGGCUACACACAUCCUACAAUGGACAACAACAAUGAGCUGCAAGCCGGUAACGGCAAGCCAAUCUCUGAAAUUUGUCCUCAGUUCGGAUUGGGGUCUGCAACUUGACCCCAUGAAGUCGGAAUUGCUAGUAAUCGCGGAUCAGCAGGUCGCGGUGAAUACGUUCUCGCCUCUUGUACACACCGCCCGU